Molecule: transfer RNA, 76 nt
Filed under: Methanomassiliicoccales archaeon
Lineage: Archaea; Methanobacteriati; Thermoplasmatota; Thermoplasmata; Methanomassiliicoccales
Description: tRNA-Asn
Rfam family: tRNA
About the family: Transfer RNA (tRNA) molecules are approximately 80 nucleotides in length. Their secondary structure includes four short double-helical elements and three loops (D, anti-codon, and T loops).
Source: RNAcentral
GCCGUCGUAGCUCAGUCGGUAGAGCGUGUGGCUGUUAACCACAAGGCCGGCGGUUCGAGCCCGCCCGACGGCGCCA